UCCGUUAUCGUCCAGCAUUUAGGAUAUCUGGCUUUCACCUAGGAGACCCGGGUUCGAUUCCCGGUAACGAAA
Molecule: transfer RNA, 72 nt
Filed under: Solanum tuberosum (potato)
Lineage: Eukaryota; Viridiplantae; Streptophyta; Magnoliopsida; Solanales; Solanaceae
Rfam family: tRNA
About the family: Transfer RNA (tRNA) molecules are approximately 80 nucleotides in length.
Source: Rfam by way of RNAcentral